This 487-nucleotide ribosomal RNA is filed under the name uncultured bacterium. RNAcentral describes it as "partial 16S ribosomal RNA". It matches the Rfam family "Bacterial small subunit ribosomal RNA", at positions 28 to 507 of the family's 1533-position model. The record is from RNAcentral.
GACGAACGCUGGCGGCGUGCUUAACACAUGCAAGUCGAACGGAAAGGCCCCCAUCUUGUUGGGUGUUCUCGUGGGGCGAACGUGUGAGUAACACGUGUGUGAUCUGCCCUGUACUUCGGUAUAUUCUUGGGAAUCUGGGUCUAAUACCGUAGAGGACCAUGGUGUAGUGUCUCGUGUGGUAAAGUUUAUUGGUUUGGUGCAGGAUUGGCGCUCGGCCUAUCAGCUUUUGGGUGGUGUAAUGGCCUCGCUAGGCGGCGUCGGGGAGCCGGGUUGAGGGGGGGGACGGGCACAUUGGGACGGAGAUAUGGCCAAGGCUCCUACGGGAGGAAGCAGUGGGGAAGCAUGAACAAUGGGGGUAAGACUGAUGGCGCGACGCUGAGUGGGGGAUGACGGCUUUCGGGUUGUAACCUUCUUUCGUUAGGGACGAAGCGACGCUUAUGGGGUGUGGUGAAGGUAAAUGUGUUAAGAAGCACCGGCUAACUACGUG